RNAcentral lists this ribosomal RNA (465 nucleotides) under uncultured bacterium. RNAcentral describes it as "partial 16S ribosomal RNA". It matches the Rfam family "Bacterial small subunit ribosomal RNA", at positions 28 to 507 of the family's 1533-position model. The record is from RNAcentral.
GACGAACGCUGGCGGCGUGCUUAACACAUGCAAGUCGAACGGAAAGGCCCUGCUUGCAGGGUCCUCGAGUGGCGAACGGGUGAGUAACACGUGGGUGAUCUGCCCUGCACUUCGGGAUAAGCCUGGGAAACUGGGUCUACUACCGGAUACGAGCCAUUUUUAGUGUGAUGGUUGGAAAGUUUUUUCGGUGUAGGAUGAGCUCGCGGCCUAUCAGCUUGUUGGUGGGGUAAUGGCCUACCAAGGCGGCGACGGGUAGCCGGCCUGAGAGGGUGGACGGCCACAUUGGGACUGAGAGACGGCCCAGACUCCUACGGGAGGCAGCAGUGGGGAAUAUUGCACAAUGGGCGCGAGCCUGAUGCAGCGACGCCGCGUGGGGGAUGACGGCCUUCGGGUUGUAAACUCCUUUCGCUAGGGACGAAGCAUUUUGUGACGGUACCUAGAUAAGAAGCACCGGCUAACUACGUG